GAUGAACGCUGGCGGCGUGCCUAAUACAUGCAAGUCGAGCGAACAGACGAGGAGCUUGCUCCUCUGACGUUAGCGGCGGACGGGUGAGUAACACGUGGAUAACCUACCUAUAAGACUGGGAUAACUUCGGGAAACCGGAGCUAAUACCGGAUAAUAUAUUGAACCGCAUGGUUCAAUAGUGAAAGACGGUUUUGCUGUCACUUAUAGAUGGAUCCGCGCCGCAUUAGCUAGUUGGUAAGGUAACGGCUUACCAAGGCAACGAUGCGUAGCCGACCUGAGAGAGUGAUCGGCCACACUGUAACUGAGACACGGUCCAGACUCCUACGGGAGGCAGCAGUAGGGAAUCUUCCGCAAUGGGCGAAAGCUUGACGGAGCAACGCCGCGUGAGUGAUGAAGGUCUUCGGAUCGUAAAACUCUGUUAUUAGGGAAGAACAAAUGUGUAAGUAACUAUGCACGUCUUGACGGUACCUAAUCAGAAAGCCACGGCUAACUACGUG
This 497-nucleotide ribosomal RNA is filed under the name uncultured bacterium. RNAcentral describes it as "partial 16S ribosomal RNA". It matches the Rfam family "Bacterial small subunit ribosomal RNA", at positions 28 to 507 of the family's 1533-position model. The record is from RNAcentral.